This 497-nucleotide ribosomal RNA is filed under the name uncultured bacterium. Its description in RNAcentral is "partial 16S ribosomal RNA". It matches the Rfam family "Bacterial small subunit ribosomal RNA", at positions 28 to 507 of the family's 1533-position model. The record is from RNAcentral.
GAUGAACGCUGGCGGCGUGCCUAAUACAUGCAAGUCGAGCGAACAGACGAGGAGCUUGCUCCUCUGACGUUAGCGGCGGACGGGUGAGUAACACGUGGAUAACCUACCUAUAAGACUGGGAUAACUUCGUGAAACCGGAGCUAAUACCGGAUCAUAUAUUGAACCGCAUGGUUCAAUAGUGAAACACGGUUUUGCUGUCACUUAUAGAUGGAUCCGCGCCGCAUUAGCUAGUUGGUAAGGUAACGGCUUACCAAGGCAACGAUGCGUAGCCGACCUGAGAGGGUGAUCGGCCACACUGGAACUGAGACACGGUCCAGACUCCUACGGGAGGCAGCAGUAGGGAAUCUUCCGCAAUGGGCGAAAGCCUGACGGAGCAAUGCCGCGUGAGUGAUGAAGGUCUUCGGAUCGUAAAGCUCUGUUAUUAGGGAAGAACAAAUGUGUAAGUAACUAUGCACGUCUUGACGGUACCUAAUCAGAAAGCCACGGCUAACUACGUG